GAUGAACGCUGGCGGCGUGCCUAAUACAUGCAAGUCGAGCGAACAGACGAGGAGCUUGCUCCUCUGACGUUAGCGGCGGACGGGUGAGUAACACGUGGAUAACCUACCUAUAAGACUGGGAUAACUUCGGGAAACCGGAGCUAAUACCGGAUAAUAUAUUGAACCGCAUGGUUCAAUAGUGAAAGACGGUUUUGCUGUCACUUAUAGAUGGAUCCGCGCCGCAUUAGCUAGUUGGUAAGGUAACGGCUUACCAAGGCAACGAUGCGUAGCCGACCUGAGAGGGUGAUCGGCCACACUGGAACUGAGACACGGUCCAGACUCCUACGGGAGGCAGCAGUAGGGAAUCUUCCGCAAUGGGCGAAAGCCUGACGGAGCAACGCCGCGUGAGGGAUGAAGGUCUUCGGAUCGUAAAACUCUGUUAUUAGGGAAGAACAAAUGUGUAAGUAACUAUGCACGUCGUGACGGUACCUAAUCAGAAAGCCACGGCUAACUACG
RNAcentral lists this ribosomal RNA (495 nucleotides) under uncultured bacterium. RNAcentral describes it as "partial 16S ribosomal RNA". It matches the Rfam family "Bacterial small subunit ribosomal RNA", at positions 28 to 505 of the family's 1533-position model. The record is from RNAcentral.